UGGGGAAUUUUGCACAAUGGGGGAAACCCUGAUGCAGCGACGCCGCGUGAUUUAGAAGGCCUUCGGGUUGUAAAAAUCUUUUCUAUGGGAAGAAAAUGACAGUACCAUAGGAAUAAGGACCGGCUAAUUACGUGCCAGCAGCCGCGGUAAUACGUAAGGUCCGAGCGUUGUCCGGAAUCAUUGGGCGUAAAGGGUACGUAGGCGGGUAAGCAAGUUAGAAGUGAAAUCCUAUAGCUCAACUAUAGUAAGCUUUUGAAACUGCUCAUCUUGAGGUAUGGAAGGGAAAGUGGAAUUCCUAGUGUAGCGGUGAAAUGCGCAGAUAUUAGGAGGAAUACCGGUGGCGAAGGCGACUUUCUGGCCAUAACCUGACGCUGAGGUACGAAAGCGUGGGUAGCAAACAGG
RNAcentral lists this ribosomal RNA (402 nucleotides) under bacterium. RNAcentral describes it as "partial 16S ribosomal RNA". It matches the Rfam family "Bacterial small subunit ribosomal RNA", at positions 355 to 776 of the family's 1533-position model. The record is from RNAcentral.